CACCCACUGACAUUCAUUAAUGCUUACUGAGUAUAUAUGGAGACCAAACAGUGGAUGUGGUGGGUCAUCUCUGCUGGUACAGAUUUUUACAAGCAUGGCAAGCAGGUGAGAAUGCACAGCUAAGGGAGUUUUCAUGGAAAUAAAUUGGAGGCAUUAAUUUUGGAGCGUCUUACAGAGGGAAAGAGGUACGUACAUCCAUCCUCUUGCACGUCAGCCAAAGCACGCCCACUGCACACGGUGCAUACAGUACCUUUCCCACGUGUUCCUGUAGCUCCCCUUGAUGUCCUCUGUUUAACAGCGUCACACUUCAAGCGCCGGCUGUUGAGAUACAGGCAAAUAAAUCAAUAUCUACCGGCAGCACAAAAACACGAGUCGUCUGGGGAACACACUUUGGGUGGAAGCUGAUAACAGCCCUUCAGGAAACCGAGCUCAACAGGAAAGCGUUCAGCCAGGACUGACACAUCCUCACCUCCUCAACCCGCAUACACAAUUUGCUGCUGAAUUGAACUACAGCAUGUUCUUUGCUGACCCGGAAAGCUAAACUGCAACGAAAGGAUAAAAAUGAAUGAAAUAGGUGGGGGGCAACUUGUGAGUACUCAAAACCACAAAGUGAACGUGGAUUUUCAGCCUCUGUUCAUAUCUGGCAGUCACACACCAGUACUCACGCAGGGCUGAGAGGUUCAUUUUCUGCCAGGUUAACUCAUCAUUUUCUAACGCAGGGUAGAAUUUGACUCUUAUAUUUGGGACUGACAUGAGGGAGAGAUGCCAGAAGUGCAGGCAGUUGGAGAUAAACCACAAUUUGCCACCCUGGUGGUUUCGUGCUCUGCAAAACUGUUUCCAGACUGAAAUGACAGAGGUUGGUGACAUUGGCCAUGUAUGUAAAUGAUCACGGUGUCCUACGGAGAUUAAUUGGCUCAUGAAUAAAGAUGAGGAGCUGAGGUGUGCAGGGAGAAAUCAUUUAUCAAUUAUAUGCCUUGGAAAGCUAAAAGAUGAUGCGGCCUUAACAGCUGAAUGGGUUUGAAAGGGAGCCUUGUAAAUUGAGUUCUAAUUCUGUUCUGCCACA
Molecule: long non-coding RNA, 1063 nt
Organism: Gallus gallus (chicken)
Lineage: Eukaryota; Metazoa; Chordata; Aves; Galliformes; Phasianidae
Source: Ensembl